Long non-coding RNA from Scatophagus argus, 884 nucleotides. RefSeq lists it as uncharacterized. Lineage: Eukaryota; Metazoa; Chordata; Actinopteri; Scatophagidae. The transcript has 2 exons. The record is from RefSeq and is a predicted model, not a curated record.
CCAUUCUGAAACGAAGGACAAGACAGAGAGAAAAACCCCGAGGGCGUCAAGGCGGUGACGACAGCUCAGGUGGUCUGAGGGGUUUGUUUUGUUGCUGUGUGUUUUUGUGGGGAAGAAUUACAUGCUAAGAGUUUUGUUUAAUCUUUCAUUGCUUCAGUCUUGCUCGAGUUUUAAAUCUCAUCCUGUUUCCCUCCUUGGGUUGGAGAGGAGGAGUUGCUGAAUCUCUUCACAAAUCUAAAAUGUGAUUCAAACGAUCCCUUACCACCCAAAAACACCCAGAGGAGGACGGAUUGUCUCGUAGCCACAGGUGACCAUUAAAUCUAACUUCCUACACCGUAAAUGUGGUGAGACGACAAAGACGAGCCGACGGUCCAGUCGGGGUUGGACGGGAUAACUUGUGCUGGAUUUAGACCGGGACAAAAAUAUCUUACUUUUAAGCAUAUGUGACCCGCCCCAGAUCACACGCUUUCUGAGCAGAUUGAACACUGAAAACUAAUCCGAUGUGGGUCACCGGAUUCCUAAAAACUCAUUUACUUUUUCCUCAAAAUUACUGAUUGCAAAGAAAACAACAUCCUCUCAAAUUAAGGGACACACGUGAAGUCUGAUCAAACCUCAGAAAUCACAGACUAAUAAUGAUUUAAAAAAUACUUCCCAAACAUGCUGCUGAGCCUCUCAUACCUUUUUUUUUUUUUCUUUCUGUCACAGCUGUUUAUUUGCUCUUUAUUUCCAUGAUUUUUUUUGGCCAUGAAAGAGCUAUUCACCUAAUCCCCCAGCAAUCCUUUCAUCCUCUGUCAUUUCAAGCUUUUGUAAAAUCAUACCUCUUUUCAAAGCUCAUCCUGUCCAUCUGCAUAAAAAGUGGAUUAAAUAAAAAGAUGCCCACCUUU